This 541-nucleotide ribosomal RNA is filed under the name Absidia edaphica. RNAcentral describes it as "partial large subunit ribosomal RNA". It matches the Rfam family "Eukaryotic large subunit ribosomal RNA", at positions 92 to 636 of the family's 3401-position model. Lineage: Eukaryota; Fungi; Mucoromycota; Mucoromycetes; Mucorales; Cunninghamellaceae. The record is from RNAcentral.
AGUGAACAGGGAAAAGCUCAAAGUUGGAACCUCCAAGCCCUAGGUUUGGCGGAUUGUAAACUAAAGCUCUCGAGUAGUUUGGCUGGCCCAGUAAAUAAGUUCUCUGGAAAGGGACGACAAAGAGGGUGAAAUCCCCGUUUUUGGCUGGAGCACAGUCUUGCGUUUGCUUGGAAGUGAAGAGUCAGGUUGUUUGGGUAUUGCAGCCUAAAGUGGGAGGUAAAUCCUCUCCUAAAGCUAAAUAUUGACGAAAGACCGAUAGCGAACAAGUACCGUGAGGGAAAGAUGAAAAGCACCUUGAAAAGGGGGUCAAAAAGUACGUGAAAUUGCUGAAAGGGAACCGUAUGAAAUCACCUUGUUUCUUUGGUAAUCAAUCUGGGCUUUGGGCUGGAUGCACUUGCCAGUGAAUACAGCCUACGACAAUUUGAUUUGAGGGAAAAGAUUAGGGGGAAUGCGGCCUGGGCUUCGGCUUAGGUGUUAUAGCCCUUUGAAAAAUACCUUGGAUUGGAUUGAGGACUGCAGCGGGCCAUUUUGGGAUGAACUG